RNAcentral lists this ribosomal RNA (253 nucleotides) under uncultured bacterium. RNAcentral describes it as "partial 16S ribosomal RNA". It matches the Rfam family "Bacterial small subunit ribosomal RNA", at positions 524 to 776 of the family's 1533-position model. The record is from RNAcentral.
UACGAAGGGGGCUAGCGAAGAGCGGAAUUACUGGGCGUAAAGCGCGCGUAGGCGGUGAUCUUUGUCAGAGGUGAAAGCCCGGGGCUCAACUCCGGAAUUGCCUUUGAAACGGGAUCGCUAGAGUCCGAGAGAGGAUGGCGGAAUUCCUAGUGUAGAGGUGAAAUUCGUAGAUAUUAGGAAGAACACCGGGGGCGAAGGCGGCCAUCUGGCUCGGUACUGACGCUCAGGCGCGAAAGCGUGGGGAGCAAACAGG